Molecule: ribosomal RNA, 795 nt
Filed under: uncultured Bacteroidota bacterium
Lineage: Bacteria; Pseudomonadati; Bacteroidota
Description: bacterial SSU rRNA
Rfam family: Bacterial small subunit ribosomal RNA
Source: RNAcentral
GUUCUUCGGAACUAGAAACCGGCGCACGGGUGCGUAACGCGUAUGCAAUCUACCUUUUACAGAGGGAUAGCCCAGAGAAAUUUGGAUUAAUACCUCAUAGUAUGUGAGAAUCGCAUGGUUUUCACAUUAAAGUUCCAACGGUAAAAGAUGAGCAUGCGACCCAUUAGCUAGAUGGUAAGGUAACGGCUUACCAUGGCGACGAUGGGUAGGGGUCCUGAGAGGGAGAUCCCCCACACUGGUACUGAGACACGGACCAGACUCCUACGGGAGGCAGCAGUGAGGAAUAUUGGACAAUGGGCGCAAGCCUGAUCCAGCCAUGCCGCGUGCAGGAUGACGGUCCUAUGGAUUGUAAACUGCUUUUGUACAGGAAGAAACACUCCCUCGUGAGGGAGCUUGACGGUACUGUAAGAAUAAGGAUCGGCUAACUCCGUGCCAGCAGCCGCGGUAAUACGGAGGAUCCAAGCGUUAUCCGGAAUCAUUGGGUUUAAAGGGUCCGUAGGCGGUUUAAUAAGUCAGUGGUGAAAGCCCAUCGCUCAACGGUGGAACGGCCAUUGAUACUGUUAAACUUGAAUUAUUAGGAAGUAACUAGAAUAUGUAGUGUAGCGGUGAAAUGCUUAGAGAAUACAUGGAAUACCAAUUGCGAAGGCAGGUUACUACUAAUGGAUUGACGCUGAUGGACGAAAGCGUGGGUAGCGAACAGGAUUAGAUACCCUGGUAGUCCACGCCGUAAACGAUGGAUACUAGCUGUUGGGAGCAAUCUCAGUGGCUAAGCGAAAGUGAUAAGUAUCCCACCUG